CGAGGGGCAGCGGGGUUGAAGCUUGCUUCAAUUGCCGGCGACCGGCGCACGGGUGAGUAACGCGUAUCCAACCUUCCGUACACUCAGGGAUAGCCUUUCGAAAGAAAGAUUAAUACCUGAUGGUAUGAUGAGAUUGCAUGAUAGCAUCAUUAAAGAUUUAUCGGUGUACGAUGGGGAUGCGUUCCAUUAGGUAGUAGGCGGGGUAACGGCCCACCUAGCCAACGAUGGAUAGGGGUUCUGAGAGGAAGGUCCCCCACAUUGGAACUGAGACACGGUCCAAACUCCUACGGGAGGCAGCAGUGAGGAAUAUUGGUCAAUGGACGAGAGUCUGAACCAGCCAAGUAGCGUGAAGGACGAAGGUCCUACGGAUUGUAAACUUCUUUUAUAAGGGAAUAAACCCUCCCACGUGUGGGAGCUUGUAUGUACCUUAUGAAUAAGCAUCGGCUAACUCCGUGCCAGCAGCCGCGGUAAUACGGAGGAUGCGAGCGUUAU
This 492-nucleotide ribosomal RNA is filed under the name uncultured Bacteroidota bacterium. RNAcentral describes it as "bacterial SSU rRNA". It matches the Rfam family "Bacterial small subunit ribosomal RNA", at positions 63 to 544 of the family's 1533-position model. Lineage: Bacteria; Pseudomonadati; Bacteroidota. The record is from RNAcentral.